AAAAGAAAAUCAUAUCCCUAAUGAUUAUUAAAUCUGGAUAUGUAUUUUCAAAAUGUGCUGCUAAAAUGUUAAGAAGCCACUCACAUGUUCUGGAAGCAUAAUACAAUUUUCAAUUUUGAAAAUAUGUUUUCAUGAUUCAGUAGUCUAUUAAAAUAUUCCUACAAAAACCUAGCACAGACAUUUUAUUCCUUCCCUGAAGAAACAUGGCCUCCCUGGUUUCUUUAGUUCCUUUCUCACAGAAUUCAAAACAAAAAUGUUACUUAUAAAUAUAGUUAGAAUGAUGAAAGUAGAGGAACAGUAUCUGCUUACCUAAAACCUUGUUGCAGGAGGUCAUCUAGAGGACAUGAAAGCAGGUUCACCUGUGAGCUGGAUCGACCAAUCUUGGGACCCUGGCUACUGGACGCUCCUUACCUGCCUCCCGCGUCCUGGGAAUGUAAGCUCCUCCCACCAUUCCCACAGGGGAGCCUCUUCAAGGAGCAGCCUUGAGAGAGCACGUGUUAUUGAGACCAUCUGGACUACAUUCGUGACUGAACCCCGUCUAGACCUCUAUGUAAACUAUAAGAUUCUGGCGUGCAAUGCGGAGAUCCACUCAUCUUGCGGUUGUUGAAGACAGGCUUGGAGGCAUUGAAACAGAAAUGGAACCAAAUCCUGUCCUUGAGUAUCUUCCAAGAUAUACAGAAAACUUCUUAUGGCUUUUGCUUGAAAGACCCAGAUGCUACAAGGAAAACCAAGUCUUUGCCCUGAAUUAUCAAGGCUCCACGUUAUCCGGUGUCAGGGAGAAAAGCCUGCUGCUGAACACAUGUGCAGUUCAACUUCCUUCUGGCCCUGAGCCUGCCACAGCAUGCUUGACAAGCAGUAUGUACGUCAGCACCCAGGAUCCAAACUGGCGAACCCUGGGAAGCCAAAGUGGAAAAUGUGAACUUAACUGCUGUGCCACCGGGCUGGCCCCCCUGAUUCAUUUGGUAAAAUAAUGAAUGGAUCCACCUUGUGGUUUG
This 995-nucleotide long non-coding RNA is filed under the name Equus caballus (horse). RNAcentral's name for it is "lncRNA (ENSECAG00000044570.1)". Lineage: Eukaryota; Metazoa; Chordata; Mammalia; Perissodactyla; Equidae. The record is from RNAcentral.